UAACAAGGAUUCCCCUAGUAACGGCGAGUGAAGCGGGAAGAGCUCAAAUUUGAAAUCUGGCGGUCUAAGGCCGUCCGAAUUGUAAUCUGGAGAAGCGUUUUCCGUGUUGGACCGUGUACAAGUCCCUUGGAACAGGGCGUCAUAGAGGGUGAGAAUCCCGUCUUCGACACGGACUACCAAUGCUAUGUGAUGCGCUCUCGAAGAGUCGAGUUGUUUGGGAAUGCAGCUCAAAACGGGUGGUAAAUUCCAUCUAAAGCUAAAUACAGGCGAAAGACCGAUAGCGAACAAGUACCGUGAGGGAAAGAUGAAAAGCACUUUGGAAAGAGAGUUAAACAGUACGUGAAAUUGUUGAAAGGGAAACGAUUGAAGUCAGUCGCGUCUCUCGGGAUUCAACCUUGCUUAAUUGCCUGGCGUAUUUCCCGAGGUGACGGGCCAGCGUCGAUUUCGACCGACGGAGAAAGGCGAGGGGAAUGUGGCACCUCCGGGUGUGUUAUAGCCCCUCGUUGUAUGCGCCGGUGGGGAUCGAGGACCGCAGCACGCCUCUAAUGGCCGGGGUUCGCCCACGUAACGUGCUUAGGAUGCUGGCGUAAUGGCUUUAAACGAC
This 604-nucleotide ribosomal RNA is filed under the name Kavinia himantia. RNAcentral's name for it is "partial 28S ribosomal RNA". It matches the Rfam family "Eukaryotic large subunit ribosomal RNA", at positions 66 to 648 of the family's 3401-position model. Lineage: Eukaryota; Fungi; Basidiomycota; Agaricomycetes; Gomphales; Lentariaceae. The record is from RNAcentral.